RNAcentral lists this non-coding RNA (26 nucleotides) under Mus musculus (house mouse). The record is from RNAcentral. Lineage: Eukaryota; Metazoa; Chordata; Mammalia; Rodentia; Muridae.
UGACAGCGACUUCUCCAUGACUCUCC